UGUAUAAAAACUGAAGCCCUCAGAGCCAAAUGUUAUUUGUUCUUCUGUGACUGAGGUGAACUCUAAUCUGCUCAGGUAGAAUUUAAUAACAGCGUGUCUGAACUGUACUUGACUUGAUCUCUGCUCAUCUCCAGGCUUCACUUCUCAUUCGGGCAUUUGAUUCACUAAAGACAUCUUCACCACCUGCUCUUCCAGACGACGGACUCGUGCCCGAACACCUGCAGGUUAACCAACCAUCCACUGAUCAGUAAGGUAAAAAAUAAGGAAACAAUGAGGAUCCUGUUUGCCUGUUUGCUGCUUGUGAUGCUCUUUUCCACUGGACUCUCAAAACUAGCUAAUCGUCAACUCAAAUGGCCGCAGAAAGAAACCCGUUAUGAAAAGUUUUUACAACAACAUGUAGAUGCUAGUAUGACUGUGGAAAAAUGUGAUGAAGAAAUGAAAAAAAAGUGGAUCUACAAUGUUGACAACAGUUGUAAGUUUACUAACACGUUCAUCCUUAGUAAUGAGAAACAGGUCAAAGACAUUUGUAAACGCCAAGGAUCACCUUAUGAUACUUCCCUUACAAAGAGUAAAGAAAAGUUUAAUAUUGUUAUAUGUCAACUAAAUAAUGGAGCCAGGAAACCCAACUGUCAGUAUAAUGGCAGACUUCACAGUAAUGUGAGAGUUGUAGUCCAAUGUAAAGGAGGGUUACCUGUGCACUAUGCAAAGCACAUAGAGACUAUUGAAUCCAAUAACGCAACUACAGGAAAGAUCCCCAUGGACUCUACUUCUGUACCCACAAAUAUACAUGUCUGAGAUAACAAAGGAGCAACAUUUAUCAUCAGCUCUAACUAAAAGUGACUGGAAACAUCUUCCAUAUUAUAGGUUUUUACUUGAGCCUGUCUUUUAAGUGCAUACAUGUUUUGCAUGUGUUCAACUUCUAUUUCCACACAUAUUGUAUGAAAAACAGUUAAACGAUUUUUUCUACAAUGCUGUAGAAAUGCAUGUAGAAAAAAAAACAUAUUAAAUGUAACUGAUAAGAAAAAAGACAAAGGAGUAAAAAAACAUGAAAUUUGUUAUUUGGUUCUUUUAUCAUCGAUACUGAUAUAUUAAGAUCAGUGACCACAGAAUACAGAUGUAUGUACUACAGUUAUGUGCUAAAAUAAUGUGAAAGGUGAUUUUGGCGACUCUUGGAUCCAGCUUGCUUCUAAUAAAUGAUUUAUUGUCUGAUCACAAAAUAAAUGUGUAAAAAAAAUGUUCUUUGAACACUUCAAACAUCAGGACUCACAAGUUGACAUGUCUUUGCUCAGUGCCCUGUGUGUUUUUUAUAUGAUUUUUUGUUGUAUUGACAAAUUUACUUGUUUAAUUAGAAUCCACUAUGUACUUAUUUUGUCCUCAAUUACAAUAAACAAACACAGCACAAAAAAGCAAACACAAUAAAAACUAUUUGCUGCUU
Oreochromis niloticus (Nile tilapia) is the source of this 1435-nucleotide long non-coding RNA. RefSeq lists it as uncharacterized. The record is from RefSeq and is a predicted model, not a curated record. NCBI's taxonomy places the organism in Eukaryota, Metazoa, Chordata, Actinopteri, Cichliformes, Cichlidae. The transcript is spliced from 3 exons.